UCCUGUUCCUGCUCCUGCUCCUGGCUGUCAUUGGAGGCUGCCACCGGUGUCACUGCCUGGCUGCCAGAAAGCCCCAGGAGAGGGUCCCCCCAGCCACUUUGGAGGAGAGGGAGGUUCUGGACAUCAAAGAUGUGAUCACCAAGAGGACAAGGAGGCCCCCCCACAUCUCCCUACUCCAGCACCCCCUGGUGACCUACCCCAGACUUCUGCGACCCCAUGAGCAACCACGGGACAACAGUGACAUCUAUGAGAAUGUGCCACGACACUGAGGAGAAGGGGGCACUGGGGGCACUGGAGGCACUGGGGGCACUGGAGGCACUGGGGUUUCCUCCUCCACAGCUCCUGUGCUUUCCCAUCCUGUUUGGGAGCAGGUCACAACUUGGGGGUGUUUCACAGGCACUAAGCACUCCCCAUUCCCCACCCCAAGUACCACGAGGGGUUCCCCUGUCCCACUCCCAGUACCCCAGGUGCUCCCCACUCCCCAUCCCAAUGCUCCCAGUAUUCCCAGGGGCUCCUUACUCCUCUUCCCACUACCUCUCUAUUGUUCCCAGAGAAUCCAGGGACUUCCCAUUCCCCCUCUCAGGACCUCUAUGAUCCCACGGGCUCCCCAUUCAUCCUUCCAGUACCCUGUCUUGGUUUAGAGACAAAAUUAGAAGAAAAUGCUCUGGAAUGAGUGUUUCCUCUAAAGAGAAGGGCUUCAGUAAUCCCUUUUGCCAAUGAGAAAAAUGAAUGCCAGUGAGCGAAAGUGAAAAAGCCCAUCCCAUCCCACACACGCCAUUUUUUUAUUUACAAACAAAGUACCCACUUGGCACAGGAAAAAAUUGAAUAAAUGCUAGAUAUUGAACUUUCACAACUUUACACAUGCCCUCAGGAGCACAUUGGGGUUUUCCCCAAAAUGCCAUGGCAAGAAAUUAAUGGGCUGGCUGUAUGGUAAAGGGGGGACAGAAUGGGGGCUGGCUUUUGUCUCAGGGAAGGGAGAAACAAGAGUUUGUGCAGCAGCUCGGGCAAAACAAGUGGGAACCUGUUGAACUUCUGGCAUUGGUCUCCUCCUCACAGCAGAUGAAGCUGGUGGAUUUUGGUGUCCUUUCUCUUGAUGGUUCAUCUUUUCCUGAGCUCUUGGGCUGGUUGGAGCAGCCCCUGCAGGCUCCCGGCUGAUGGUCUAGGCAAUUGUUUGAUCUCAGACCAAAACUAAGCCAAACAGAUCAAGAAAAACAUAAAACAGAAGCCACCAAAGGAUUGAUACUGCAGCCUCUGCAGGCCAGGGGAAGCUAAAAAAAAAAAAAAAAGGCUUUUUGCUAGCAAAAAUCCAAGCUAGCUAAGCCACAAAAUAAUGUCUGAUCCACACUGCACUGCACCCAGCACUUUCCCACUUUCCAGAGGGAGGCUUUGAACAAAGCCAUUGCAGGAGCUCCCAGGCUCCCACCCCUCUCCCAGACACACUUUAAACCUCCAGCAGCCAUUGCUGGGCAUAAAGCAGGUGAUCAGGAAUAGGGCAUCAUCAUAAAAUCACCCCAAGACAUAUCCCCAUGCUCCCAGUGGCUUCCCAUUGCUCCUCCCAAUGCCAGGGAGGCACAGGACCCCUGGUAUUGGGCCAAAAUGCAACUUUUUUGUUAAACUGGCAGAAAUGGGGUUUCUUUGUUCAGCUCUGGGAUUUUCCAAUUCUGAGCUGCCACUAAACACCAGGGGCCACUGCCCCUCCCCCUCCCAGUGGAGGCACAGAAGGUGAAGAUCUCAAAGGGCUGAGAGAAGAACAAUUUCCUGCAAAUAGCAAUGAGAGAACAAAACCAACAACAACAAGAUUCAGAAUCUCAAGGGUCAGAAAAGAAACAAUUUCCAGGGAAUGCCCCCAACAAGAGCCCCACAUGGCCAGAGCGUGAGUCCAGUGGAGAGUGGCCACUGACAGGGACCAUAGGGGCCAGAACCAAGUGCCAGCGCCACUGAGAGAGACUGUACAGGGCAUGCCGGAACUCCAGGACAAGCUGGAGUGCAAGUCAAGCAAGUGGAAAUUGCCAAACCUUUGUCCCCAUUCCUGUGGCAACAGAGGGCAGGAUACAGUUUGCCUUGACCUGGAGGGGUGUCCAGAGCUCCUGGAACCAACUGGAAACUGAGCCCCACCCUGUGCCAUGGCCUGAUCCCAACUGCCCUGAAAAGGGGAGGCUCUGGAAAACCCACAGGGCCUUUGUGACAACAUCAUGUGGGAAACACGGCAGAGGAGGUGUUUGAGACAGGGGAGAAGAGAAUCCAGAACCUCCAGAAGGCCACUUUGGCCAUCAGAGCAAGGAAGGUCCAGGGUCCUGACAGGUUCUUCCUGGUGGAGGAAAUGUGCCAAGGGCAGCUUCUGGGGUUUGUUCCUUGUUGGGGGCUUUCCCUGGAAAUUCUUCCUUUUGUGACCCUUUGAAUUACGAAUCUUGAGAAUUGAGAAGGAUUGGUUCAACAACCUGACGGGGACCCUCCUCCUUCCUGAGCCAAACAGGGCAGAGCUGAACAAACAAAAAUAAUUUCUCCCAGUUUAAUCAAAAAGCUACAUUUUGGGUCCAGUAAGAAGGACAAGGGUGCUGUGCCCCUGGCACUGGGGGAGGGAAUGGGGAGCCCCUGGGGGUACUGGGAUUACUGGGAGCACUGGAAUGGGGAGCCCUUGGCAGCUCCACAUGGGAGCCUCCACUCGUUGCCACCCCUUGGCUAUGGUGGGCACCCAUGGGAGUGAGGAAUGCCCUCAGGCAGGGACCCCAGUGUACCCCCAGUGUCACAGCAUGUUCUCGCAGAUGUCACUGGGGUCCUGCUGUCUCCUGUGGGGUCCUGGCAGCUCUGCAUAGGUCAUUUGGGGAAUGUGGUGCAGGGAGGCCCUGUGAGAGACACCAGUUGUGGGGAUCUGGGUGGCAGGGUGACAGUCAUGGGUGAUGUGCCCCUCUGUCCCCCUUGUACUCACCACCUGCCUUCUUGGUGCUCAUGACAUCGCUGUACAGCAGCUCUCCUGCCUCUGGUGGGGGCGAGGGCUCUGGGGGUGGCCUUGCAGGGAUAUGGGGGUGUCUGUGGGUGUGAGAGGGUCUUUGUGGUGGGGGUAAAAUGGGGGUCCAGACCUGAAGUCCCACACUCACCUUUCUUACUGCUUCCCAAGGGCUGCAAAGGAAAAGCAUGAGGGGUGACUGUGGGGUCCUCAGGGCCUCUGAACACCAUCAGGACCCCUGACUGUCCCUGGGACCCUCGAGCAUCCCUGAAACCCCCAAAAUACAUUGAACCAUCCUUUGAAUCCACUGAGACCCCAGAGUUUCCAGACUCCCCAAAAAAACCCUGACAGCACCUCCAACUUCCCUGCAUGACCCCUCAGGACCUCCCCAAAUCCCCCAGGACCUCCAGCUGAGGUCUCUGGGGGCUCAGCUUCACCCAGGUCAGGAGCUGUUUGUGCCACCCUCUGGCCCCUGUACUCUGGGGAGGCUUCACCCCAAUCCCUGGGACCCCCAUCCCCCUUCAUUG
Long non-coding RNA from Passer domesticus (house sparrow), 3471 nucleotides. RefSeq lists it as uncharacterized. NCBI's taxonomy places the organism in Eukaryota, Metazoa, Chordata, Aves, Passeriformes, Passeridae. The transcript is spliced from 4 exons. The record is from RefSeq and is a predicted model, not a curated record.